ACCUUGUAAAAGAGACUA
RNAcentral lists this small nuclear RNA (18 nucleotides) under Arabidopsis thaliana (thale cress). RNAcentral describes it as "snRNA_15655". Lineage: Eukaryota; Viridiplantae; Streptophyta; Magnoliopsida; Brassicales; Brassicaceae. The record is from RNAcentral.